AUGAACGCUGGCGGCGUGGUUAAGACAUGCAAGUCGAACGGUUUUUAUUGAAGGGCAACCGGAUAUAAAAGCAGUGGCGAACGGGUGCGUAACACGUGAACAAUCUACCUCCAAGUGGGGGAAUAGCUCGCCGAAAGGCGAAUUAAUACCGCAUGUGGUGGUUUCUCGCAUGAGAAGCUUACUAAAACAGGGACCGCAAGGCCUGUUGCUAGGAGAGGAGUUCGCGGCCUAUCAGCUAGUUGGCGAGUA
This 249-nucleotide ribosomal RNA is filed under the name uncultured bacterium. Its description in RNAcentral is "partial 16S ribosomal RNA". It matches the Rfam family "Bacterial small subunit ribosomal RNA", at positions 29 to 258 of the family's 1533-position model. The record is from RNAcentral.